Molecule: ribosomal RNA, 468 nt
Filed under: uncultured bacterium
Lineage: Bacteria
Description: partial 16S ribosomal RNA
Rfam family: Bacterial small subunit ribosomal RNA
Source: RNAcentral
GACGAACGCUGGCGGCGUGCUUAACACAUGCAAGUCGAACGGAAAGGCCCUGCUUUUGUGGGGUGCACGAGUGCCGAACGGGUGAGUAAAACGUGAGUAACCUGCCCUUGUCAGUGGGAUAACUCUAGGAAACUGGGGCUAAUACAGGAUAGGAGAUAUUGAUGCAUGGUGGGGGUUGGAAAGUUUCGGUGGUUGGGGAUGGACUAGAGGCUUAUGCGCUUGUUGGGGGGGUAGUGGCAUUCCAGGGGUUUGAAGGAUAGGCGGCAUUGGAGGGGGAACGGGCACAUUGCUCCUGCGAUACGGCGCAGACGCCUAUGGGAGGCAGCAGUCGGGAAUUUGGCACAACAGGCGGGAGUCAGAUACGGCAACGCUGCGUGCGGGAUGACGUCUUUCGGGUUGUGAACCGAUUUGGCCGGUGAUGAAGCGUGAGUGACGGUAAUGGGUAAAAAAGCACCGGCUAACUACGUG